GACGAACGCUGGCGGCGCGCUUAACACAUGCAAGUCGAGCGAAGCGGCGGACGGGUGAGUACCACGUGAGUAACCUGCCUUAGACCUUGGGAUAGCCUCGGGAAACCGGGAUUGAUACCAAAUGGUCUAAGAUGGACUCGCGUCCCAUUAGCUAGUUGGUGAGGUAACGGCCCACCAAGGCGACGAUGGGUAGCCGGCCUGAGAGGGUGAACGGCCACAUUGGAACUGAGAAACGGUCCAAACUCUACGGGAGGCAGCAGUGGUGAAUAGUGCACAAUGGAGGGAACUCUGAUGGAGCUACGCCGCGUGAACGAAGAAGGCUUUCGAGUCGUAAAGGUCUUUUAUAUGGGAAGCGGUACCAUAAGAAAAAGCCCCGGCUAACUACGUGCCAGCAGCCGCGGUAAUAC
RNAcentral lists this ribosomal RNA (407 nucleotides) under uncultured bacterium. RNAcentral describes it as "partial 16S ribosomal RNA". It matches the Rfam family "Bacterial small subunit ribosomal RNA", at positions 28 to 526 of the family's 1533-position model. The record is from RNAcentral.